GGGUGACACAGUGACAGAGUUAGGGAGGGAGUCACAGUGACAGAGUAGGGAGGGAGUGACUAGUGACAGAGAGAGGGAUGGGGUGACUAGUGACAGUCACCCCCCCUCACUCUGUCACUAGUCACCCCUUCCCUCCCUCACUUUGCCACUAGUCAUCUCUUCCCUCCCUCACUCUGCCACUAGUCACCCAUUCCCUCACUCUGUCACUAGUCACCCCUAUCUCCCUCCCUCUGUCACUAGUCACCCACUCCCUCACUCUGUCACCAGUCACACC
Molecule: non-coding RNA, 274 nt
Organism: Pelobates cultripes (western spadefoot toad)
Lineage: Eukaryota; Metazoa; Chordata; Amphibia; Anura; Pelobatidae
Source: the annotation of a GenBank genome assembly